This 524-nucleotide ribosomal RNA is filed under the name uncultured bacterium. RNAcentral describes it as "partial 16S ribosomal RNA". It matches the Rfam family "Bacterial small subunit ribosomal RNA", at positions 28 to 523 of the family's 1533-position model. The record is from RNAcentral.
GACGAACGCUGGCGGCGUGCCUAAUACAUGCAAGUCGAACGAAGCUGUUUUAACUGGUGCUUGCACCGACUUAAACAACUGAGUGGCGAACGGGUGAGUAACACGUGGGUAACCUGCCCCAAAGCGGGGGAUAACAUUUGGAAACAGAUGCUAAUACCGCAUAACCACAGAAACCACAUGGUUUCUGUGUCAAAGAUGGUUUCGGCUAUCACUUUGGGAUGGACCCGCGGCGUAUUAGCUAGUUGGUAAGGUAAUGGCUUACCAAGGCAAUGAUACGUAGCCGAAACGAGAGGUUGAUCGGCCACAUUGGGACUGAGACACGGCCCAAACUCCUACGGGAGGCAGCAGUAGGGAAUCUUCCGCAAUGGACGAAAGUCUGAUGGAGCAACGCCGCGUGAGUGAAGAAGGUUUUCGGAUCGUAAAACUCUGUUGUCAGAGAAGAACGUGUGCGAGAGUAACUGUUCGUGCAGUGACGGUAUCUGGCCAGAAAGCCACGGCUAACUCCGUGCCAGCCGCCGCUGUAA